UACGGAGGGUGCAAGCGUUAUCCGGAUUCACUGGGUUUAAAGGGUGCGUAGGUGGGCAGUUAAGUCAGUGGUGAAAUCUCCGGGCUUAACCCGGAAACUGCCAUUGAUACUAUCUGUCUUGAAUACCGUGGAGGUGAGCGGAAUAUGUCUGUAGCGGUGAAAUGCUUAGAUAAUGACAUAGAACACCAAUUGCGAAGGCAGCUCACUAAC
This 210-nucleotide ribosomal RNA is filed under the name uncultured bacterium. Its description in RNAcentral is "partial 16S ribosomal RNA". It matches the Rfam family "Bacterial small subunit ribosomal RNA", at positions 524 to 734 of the family's 1533-position model. The record is from RNAcentral.